CAAUAGCGUAUAUUAAAGUUGUUGCAGUUAAAAAGCUCGUAGUUGGACUUCUGCGGGUGGCGGCCGGUCGUGCCCUUAUGUGGCGUGAACUUGGCUCUUUGCCGCCCGCAUCUUUGGGGAGAUUGUGCGUGGCAUUAGGUUGUCGUGCAUGGGAUUCUCAUCAUUUACUGUGAAAAAAUUAGAGUGUUUAAAGCAGGCCUUUGCCUUGAAUACAUUAGCAUGGAAUAAUAAGAUAGGACCGUUGUCUAUUUUGUUGGUUUACAGAUGUCGGUAAUGAUUAAUAGGGAUAGUUGGGGGUAUUCGUAUUCAGUUGUCAGAGGUGAAAUUCUUGGAUUUUCGGAAGACGCACGACUGCGAAAGCAUUUACCAAGGAUGUUUUCAUUA
RNAcentral lists this ribosomal RNA (384 nucleotides) under uncultured eukaryote. RNAcentral describes it as "partial 18S ribosomal RNA". It matches the Rfam family "Eukaryotic small subunit ribosomal RNA", at positions 592 to 975 of the family's 1831-position model. The record is from RNAcentral.